RNAcentral lists this unclassified non-coding RNA (244 nucleotides) under uncultured fungus. RNAcentral's name for it is "sequence contains ITS1, 5.8S rRNA gene". The stretch from base 196 to 244 matches the Rfam family "5.8S ribosomal RNA", at positions 1 to 49 of the family's 154-position model. Lineage: Eukaryota; Fungi. The record is from RNAcentral.
UUUCCGUAGGUGAACCUGCGGAAGGAUCAUUACACACUGCGCGACACCUGCCGCCCACAGCGGUAGGUGAAGCACAGCCAACCCUUGUCUAUUACUACCAUUUGUGAAUCCCUCGGCAGGGACGCCUGCCGCUGGGACCCCUAAACUCUUCUGUAUACAAGCAUAAAAACAUUCUGAAUCAAAUCAAAUUAUUACAACUUUCAACAAUGGAUCUCUUGGUUCUGGCAUCGAUGAAGAACGCAGC